AUACGGAGGGUGCGAGCGUUAUCCGGAUUUAUUAGGUUUAAAGGGUGUGUAGGCGGGAGCCUAAGUCAGUGGUGAAAUCUCACAGCUUAACUGUGAAACUGCCAUUGAAACUGGGUUUCUUGAGUAUAGUUGAGGUAGGCGGAAUGUGUAAUGUAGCGGUGAAAUGCAUAGAUAUUACACAGAACACCGAUUGCGAAGGCAGCUUACUAAGCUAUUACUGACGCUGAUGCACGAAAGCGUGGGUAGCGAACAGGAUUAGAUACCCGAGUAGUCC
Molecule: ribosomal RNA, 274 nt
Filed under: uncultured bacterium
Lineage: Bacteria
Description: partial 16S ribosomal RNA
Rfam family: Bacterial small subunit ribosomal RNA
Source: RNAcentral